UACGUAGGGUGCAAGCGUUGUCCGGAAUUAUUGGGCGUAAAGAGCUCGUAGGCGGUCUGUUACGUCGGCUGUGAAAACCUGGGGCUCAACCCCGGGCCUGCAGCCGAUACGGGCAGACUAGAAUUCGGUAGGGGAGAAUGGAAUUCCUGGUGUAGCGGUGAAAUGCGCAGAUAUCAGGAAGAGCACCCGUGGCUAAGGCGGUUCUCUAGUACGGUACUGACGCUGAGACGCGAAAGCGUGGGGAGCGAACAGG
This 253-nucleotide ribosomal RNA is filed under the name uncultured bacterium. Its description in RNAcentral is "partial 16S ribosomal RNA". It matches the Rfam family "Bacterial small subunit ribosomal RNA", at positions 524 to 776 of the family's 1533-position model. The record is from RNAcentral.